GGGUCAUUAGCUCAGUUGGUUAGAGCCCCGCGCUCAUAACGCGGUGGUCCGGUGUUCAAGUCACCGAUGACCCACCA
This 77-nucleotide transfer RNA is filed under the name Bacteriovorax sp. MedPE-SWde. RNAcentral describes it as "tRNA-Met". It matches the Rfam family "tRNA". Rfam says of the family: Transfer RNA (tRNA) molecules are approximately 80 nucleotides in length. Their secondary structure includes four short double-helical elements and three loops (D, anti-codon, and T loops). The record is from RNAcentral. Lineage: Bacteria; Pseudomonadati; Bdellovibrionota; Bacteriovoracia; Bacteriovoracales; Bacteriovoracaceae.